CGCGGUAUAUUGACCGUGCGAAGGUAGCAUAAUCAUUAGUCUUUUAAUUGAGGGCUUGUAUGAACGGUUAGACGAGAAGUGGACUGUCUUUAUUGAAGCAAUUGAAUUUAACUCUUUAGUGAAAAGGCUUAAAUGAUCUAGGGGGACGAUAAGACCCUAUAAAGUUUAANCAUAAUGAGGAUAAAAAAUUAAUUAGAUUAUAAAGUUUAUUAUCAUAAAUAAUGUUUUGUUGGGGCGACAAGAAUAAAAAUAAUUUAACUGUUCUUUUUUAGAUACAAAAAUAUUUGUGUAGGGUGAUCUUUUUUAGAAGUAUUAGAGUAAAUUACUUUAGGGAUAACAGCGUAAUUUUUUUUGAGAGUUCUUAUCGACAAAAUAGUUUGCGACCUCGAUGUUGAAUUAAAGGGUCUUUAUAAUGGAGGCGUUAUAGGAGAGGGUCUGUUCGACCUUUAAAUCUUUACAUGAUUUGA
RNAcentral lists this ribosomal RNA (467 nucleotides) under Astacopsis gouldi. RNAcentral's name for it is "partial 16S ribosomal RNA". It matches the Rfam family "Archaeal large subunit ribosomal RNA", at positions 2009 to 2677 of the family's 2987-position model. The record is from RNAcentral. Lineage: Eukaryota; Metazoa; Arthropoda; Malacostraca; Decapoda; Parastacidae.